GACGAACGCUGGCGGCGUGCCUAAUACAUGCAAGUAGAACGCACAGUUUAUACCGUAGCUUGCUACACCAUAGACUGUGAGUUGCGAACGGGUGAGUAACGCGUAGGUAACCUGCCUGGUAGCGGGGGAUAACUAUUGGAAACGAUAGCUAAUACCGCAUAAUAUUUAUUAUUGCAUGAUAAUUAAUUGAAAGGUGCAAUUGCACCACUACCAGAUGGACCUGCUUUGUAUUAGCUAGUAGGUGAGGUAACGGCUCACCUAGGCGACGAUACAUAGCCGACCUGAGAGGGUGAUCGGCCAACCUGGGACUGAGACACGGCCCAGACUCCUACGGGAGGCAGCAGUAGGGAAUCUUCGGCAAUGGACGAAAGGCUGACCGAGCAACGCCGCGGGAGUGAAGAAGGUUUUCGGAUCGUAAAGCUCUGUUGUAAGAGAAGAACGGGUGUGAGAGUGGAAAGUUCACACUGUGACGGUAUCUUACCAGAAAGGGACGGCUAACUACGUG
RNAcentral lists this ribosomal RNA (505 nucleotides) under uncultured bacterium. RNAcentral describes it as "partial 16S ribosomal RNA". It matches the Rfam family "Bacterial small subunit ribosomal RNA", at positions 28 to 507 of the family's 1533-position model. The record is from RNAcentral.